This 253-nucleotide ribosomal RNA is filed under the name uncultured bacterium. Its description in RNAcentral is "partial 16S ribosomal RNA". It matches the Rfam family "Bacterial small subunit ribosomal RNA", at positions 524 to 776 of the family's 1533-position model. The record is from RNAcentral.
UACGUAGGAGGCAAGCGUUGUCCGGAAUUACUGGGCGUAAAGCGCGUGUAGGUGGUGGGCCAAGUCUGCUGUGAAAGCGCCUGGCUUAACCGGGCGAGGUCGGCGGAAACUGUCCGACUCGAGGACGGUAGAGGGGGGUGGAAUUCCCGGUGUAGUGGUGAAAUGCGUAGAUAUCGGGAGGAACACCAGUGGCGAAGGCGACUACCUGGCCUGUUCUUGACGCUGAGGCGCGAAAGCUAGGGGAGCAAACGGG